RNAcentral lists this ribosomal RNA (465 nucleotides) under uncultured bacterium. RNAcentral's name for it is "partial 16S ribosomal RNA". It matches the Rfam family "Bacterial small subunit ribosomal RNA", at positions 28 to 507 of the family's 1533-position model. The record is from RNAcentral.
GACGAACGCUGGCGGUGUGCUUAACGCAUGCAAGUCGAACGGUAAGGCCCUUUCGGGGGUACACGAGUGGCGAACGGGUGAGUAACACGUGAGUAACCUGCCCUCAUCUCUGGGAUAACAGUCGGAAACGGUUGCUAAUACUGGAUAUGAGCCUGCAAGGCAUCUUGUGGGUUGGAAAGAUUUUUUGGUUGGGGAUGGACUCGCGGCCUAUCAGCUUGUUGGUGAGGUAGUGGCUCACCAAGGCUUCGACGGGUAGCCGGCCUGAGAGGGCGACCGGCCACAUUGGGACUGAGAUACGGCCCAAACUCCUACGGGAGGCAGCAGUGGGGAAUAUUGCACAAUGGACGGAAGUCUGAUGCAGCAACGCCGCGUGCGGGAUGACGGCCUUCGGGUUGUAAACCGCUUUCAAUUGUGACGAAGCUUUUUGUGACGGUAGCAGUAGAAGAAGCACCGGCUAACUACGUG